UACCCGCAGCCCGAGUGGUGCUCGUUAUUAUUGGGCCUAAAGCGUCCGUAACCGGCCUCGUAAAUGCCUGGGGAAAUCGUAUUGCUCAACAAUACGAAGGCCCGGGUAGACUGCGAGGCUCGAGACCGGGAGAGGCCAGAGGUACUCCGGGGGUAGAGGUGAAAUUCUGUAAUCCUCGGGGGACCACCGGUGGCGAAGGCGUCUGGCUAGAACGGAUCUGACGGCGAGGGACGAAGCCCUGGGGCGCAAACGGG
Molecule: ribosomal RNA, 254 nt
Filed under: uncultured bacterium
Lineage: Bacteria
Description: partial 16S ribosomal RNA
Rfam family: Archaeal small subunit ribosomal RNA
Source: RNAcentral